UACGUAGGGGGCGAGCGUUGUCCGGAAUUAUUGGGCGUAAAGAGCGUGUAGGCGGUUCGGUAAGUCUGCCGUGAAAACCUGGGGCUCAACCCCGGGCGUGCGGUGGAUACUGCCGGGCUAGAGGAUGGUAGAGGCGAGUGGAAUUCCCGGUGUAGCGGUGAAAUGCGCAGAUAUCGGGAGGAACACCAAUGGCGAAGGCAGCUCGCUGGGACGUUACUGACGCUGAGACGCGAAAGCGUGGGGAGCAAACAGG
This 253-nucleotide ribosomal RNA is filed under the name uncultured bacterium. RNAcentral's name for it is "partial 16S ribosomal RNA". It matches the Rfam family "Bacterial small subunit ribosomal RNA", at positions 524 to 776 of the family's 1533-position model. The record is from RNAcentral.